AUCCAGCUGACGAAUCCCGAAUAGGACGAAACCCGUGUCCUGAAC
Molecule: non-coding RNA, 45 nt
Filed under: Schistosoma mattheei
Lineage: Eukaryota; Metazoa; Platyhelminthes; Trematoda; Strigeidida; Schistosomatidae
Source: RNAcentral